CAGCUGGUAGCGUAGUGGUUAGUUAUGGGCUUUGGAUCCAAAGGUCAUAGGUUUGAUCCCUAACUCUAGCUGU
RNAcentral lists this transfer RNA (73 nucleotides) under Scleropages formosus (Asian bonytongue). Its description in RNAcentral is "tRNA-Gln". Lineage: Eukaryota; Metazoa; Chordata; Actinopteri; Osteoglossiformes; Osteoglossidae. The record is from RNAcentral.